This 247-nucleotide non-coding RNA is filed under the name Cellulosilyticum lentocellum. Its description in RNAcentral is "Clostridium lentocellum T-box sequence". It matches the Rfam family "T-box leader". From Rfam's summary of the family: Uncharged tRNA acts as the effector for transcription antitermination of genes in the T-box leader family. T-boxes are found upstream of many aminoacyl-tRNA synthetase genes and some amino acid biosynthetic genes usually in Gram-positive bacteria. Lineage: Bacteria; Bacillati; Bacillota; Clostridia; Lachnospirales; Cellulosilyticaceae. The record is from RNAcentral.
CCAAACACAAUGAAAAGGACUAGUACUAUUUUUGAUGCGUCAAAGCGAGUGGGGUUGGUGAAAGCCCAUACGAUAGAAAAUACGAAAAAUCACCUUGGAGUGGCAGACCGAACCUAAAUCUUUGAUUGAAGUAGGCUCUGACGGUUUCCUACCGUUACCGUAAGGAAAGGUAUAACGAGCGGCCUUUAUAGAAGGCAAAUCAGGUGGUACCGCGGAAGAUGACUUAUAGUGCUCUUUCGUCCUGUUG